This is a long non-coding RNA of Canis lupus familiaris (dog), 338 nucleotides long. RefSeq lists it as uncharacterized. NCBI's taxonomy places the organism in Eukaryota, Metazoa, Chordata, Mammalia, Carnivora, Canidae. The record is from RefSeq and is a predicted model, not a curated record. The transcript is spliced from 3 exons.
UGGAGGUGGUUGGCUGAGAGGAGGAAGAGAGAACGGGAAAGAAGGGAGCACCCUAAGGGUUCAGGGCCUGGGCUGGGGCCAUCUGUGGGGUUGGAGGAGGCCAGGGCUUCUACCCUCAGCUUUUGGAGUCAUGGGAUUAAACACCUGUACUCACAGCAUGAUCUCAGUGGGUCACCACGGUGCUUUGAGCCUGUUUUCAUCUGUCAGAAAGAAGUUCUUCCUGGGAAGCCUGGCUGGCUCAGCAGUUGAGCGGCUGCCUUCGGCUCAGGGUGUGAUCGCGGGGUUCAAGGAUCAAGUCCCACAUUGGGAUCCCUGCAUGGAGUCUGCUUCUCCCUCGG